UAGGGAAUCUUCGGCAAUGGACGAAAGUCUGACCGAGCAACGCCGCGUGAGUGAAGAAGGUUUUCGGAUCGUAAAACUCUGUUGUUAGAGAAGAACAAGGACGUUAGUAACUGAACGUCCCCUGACGGUAUCUAACCAGAAAGCCACGGCUAACUACGUGCCAGCAGCCGCGGUAAUACGUAGGUGGCAAGCGUUGUCCGGAUUUAGUGGGCGUAAAGCGAGCGCAGGCGGUUUCUUAAGUCUGAUGUGAAAGCCCCCGGCUCAACCGGGGAGGGUGGUUGGAAGCUGGGAGACUUGAGUGCAGAAGAGGAGAGUGGAAUUCCAUGUGUAGCGGUGAAAUGCGUAGAUAUAUGGAGGAACACCAGUGGCGAAGGCGGCUCUCUGGUCUGUAACUGACGCUGAGGCUCGAAAGCGUGGGGAGCAAACAGG
This 429-nucleotide ribosomal RNA is filed under the name Gemmatimonadota bacterium. Its description in RNAcentral is "Gemmatimonadetes bacterium partial 16S ribosomal RNA". It matches the Rfam family "Bacterial small subunit ribosomal RNA", at positions 355 to 776 of the family's 1533-position model. The record is from RNAcentral. Lineage: Bacteria; Pseudomonadati; Gemmatimonadota.